This 406-nucleotide ribosomal RNA is filed under the name uncultured bacterium. RNAcentral's name for it is "partial 16S ribosomal RNA". It matches the Rfam family "Bacterial small subunit ribosomal RNA", at positions 30 to 526 of the family's 1533-position model. The record is from RNAcentral.
AUUGGACGCUAGCGGCAGGCCUAACACAUGCAAGUCGAACGAGUGGCGGACGGGUGAGUAAUGUCUGGGAAACUGCCUGAGGGAGGGGGAUAACUACUGGAAACGGUAGCUAAUACCGCAUACCAUCAGAUGUGCCCAGAUGGGAUUAGCUAGUAGGUGGGGUAACGGCUAACCUAGGCGACGAUCCCUAGCUGGUCUGAGAGGAUGACCAGACACACUGGAACUGAGACACGGUCCAGACGCCUACGUGAGGCAGCAGUGGGGAAUAUUGGACAAUGGGCGAAAGCCUGAUGCAGCCAUGCCGCGUGUAUGAAGAAGGCCUUCGGAUUGUAAAGCACUUUCAGCGGGGAGGCGUUACCCGCAGAAGAAGCACCGGCUAACUCCGUGCCAGCAGCCGCGGUAAUUC